UUUAAUAAUUUUAUCUUACGAAAAAAUUCCUUUAAACCAUAAACUCUGGUAUAGGAUGGGAAUGUUUUUUACGAUAAGUGAUUACAAUCACGACUUAGCCAGACCGACUACUCUUACACAAAGGCUAUUAAAGCUAAAGAAGUAACGACUGCUCUUACACAAAGGCUAUUAAAGCUAAAGAAGUAACGACGAAGUUCGAGUCAAUUUGCGCACCAAGACCAUCUGCAGUUUCGUAAAGAUAGAUAAUUUCCCUAAACAAUAGGCAUAAUAAUAAUAAUAAAAAACAAGAUUAGGAAAGUGUAAUUUACCAUGCAACUUAAGCACUGCAAAAUAAUAACAAAAAAUCAGCAAUUGAACCACAUAAGUUCACUUGCGAACAUUUUACACGUACCGCCUUCCAAAAAUGGAAAACCAAGUGCCUCUCCCCUUUUAACAAUGCCCCCGCUUUACAACUGCCAUAAACACCACCUUAUCUAUUCCAUGCUUUGCUGUGCUUAUUCGAUUGCCCAUAGACCGCAACCACCAUCAUGACAUCUAA
This 538-nucleotide long non-coding RNA is filed under the name Linum usitatissimum (flax). RNAcentral's name for it is "long non-coding RNA (LUSI_LNC004558)". Lineage: Eukaryota; Viridiplantae; Streptophyta; Magnoliopsida; Malpighiales; Linaceae. The record is from RNAcentral.